RNAcentral lists this long non-coding RNA (1822 nucleotides) under Homo sapiens (human). RNAcentral describes it as "HSALNT0324226". The record is from RNAcentral. Lineage: Eukaryota; Metazoa; Chordata; Mammalia; Primates; Hominidae.
CAGAGCCUCAAAGAGCACCCAGCAUAACUGUGGGAGAAUAGUAAGCAUUGGACACAAAAUGGUUUAGGCAAAUAAUGAUGAACAAAAAUGGUCAGUCUGUGUUCCUGCUGACCCAGCACAGUGGGGACGCUGUGUAGGACAUGACCUUUGGGGGAAAGGACACAAGAACUCAGCGUGGGGGAUCCAGAAAAGAAGUCGCACGUAUUGAAGCCAGUAACGCCAAGCCAGUGAAUUCUCCUUGACGAGAAAGACCCACUUACUCUGCAGAAGAGAUAUAUGACAGCUGACAAUCCCUGGAGGAGAAUCUUUCUACUAAAUUGGUAAGGGAUGCUAAGCAAAUGAUGUGGACUCAGGAAACAACGCAUUUCAUGAUAUACGGUUGCCUCUCAAGGUGAAUUCGAGACCCCUCUUGAAUUACAAAGAGUUGAAAACAUUCAAGUACGGAAUAAACUAUUACUGCGAAUACGCUCAUAUGACACAAGAACAAUCUCUGAGCUUCUUUGAGGAUGUCCAGAUGACUGCUGACUGCACUAAUUGCAUCAAUCGUGUAUCCAUACAGGUUCUUUCUAUAAAAUAGUGGUCGCUAGUUAUGAGGCGUUAAGCCUUCAUGGAUAUAAACAGACUAUUCCACCUAAGUGAUCUGGCAGAAGCUUAGUUUUCUACCACAACAUCCACCGUCCUCCCUCCCUCCCUUCCUAGCUGGUCAGAAAAGCUACUCAGAAUAAAGACUACAUUUCCCAGCCAUCUUUGCAGCUAGGUUUAUCCACCUGACUAAAUUCCACCGUAACUCCAGGUUGAAGAACUUCUACUUAUAGGCAUCUAUUCAACGAAGACGAAUCCUGGAAUGGGGAUGGAAAUGAUGGCUCAUGUCUUAGCAAACUACCAAACUGAUCCGAGAGGACAGGGAAGUCAGUGUGGGCGGCUCUAAGGAGCCUCCCUCUCUACAGCUGCGGCUCAGAGGAUUACGGCGCUUCAUCCACAAGGCAACAUUGCACAAGUAGCUUUUGAACAAAAGUCAUGGAUACUAUUAAUGAUAUGUUCCCACACACAUUUAGUGUCGUCUCAAAAUUCACGCUGUCAACUGUCUCUAGGAAUCAUUUCCAUCUGAGAACAGACCACACAAAGACACAGUGAAACUCAGUUUCUGCAGAAUUUGAUUUCAUUUGAGUUACUGGGGAACAAAGCAAUUAGACAAUGAAUAAUAGCUCAAGACAGGCUGAAGCUGAAGAUUUCUGCAAAAGAAUGAAGAGGAAACGUUUUGAUCCUGAGCAGAUGUUCUCCCUAGAUUGCUUCACCUGAGGUUGAUUGACUUUUGGAAACGAGAUUUGUUCCCAGUGCUUUGUGAGUCUCUUGUUGGAAGGACUGUCUUUAAAUUAAAGCAAUUAGAGUUACUUUAUAAGAUUUACCCAAAUAUAAGAGCUGAAGAGAAUAAUUCAAAUUGAUCAGAAGAAAAUACUCAAUUACUGACAAAUGUCAAUUACAUCAAUAGGAGGAGAAAAUGUGUAAUUGUAAGCAGCUGAACUAAAAUAUCUCUGUGACAUUUUGCUGGUGACUCCAGCCCUGUGAGAUCUGAGUGGCUCAGGAAUCAAAUUCUCCCACAAACCUGAGGAAGCCUUUUAUUCUUAAUGCCAACAGGAUGCCCCAUGCCCAGAAUGUCAAAUCUGAACACCAAUGGAAUGCAUUUUAUAAACAAAUUGAAAAAGGACAAUCUUUAACAGAAUUGUUGUUCUCUAGGCAGAUUAGUUGUGCUUCAAAUACAAAAUGAAAUAUUAGAGAACAAAAUUAUUUUUAAACAGCUAAUACUAGUAGAAAAUAAAAGGCU